This 402-nucleotide ribosomal RNA is filed under the name uncultured microorganism. Its description in RNAcentral is "bacterial SSU rRNA". It matches the Rfam family "Bacterial small subunit ribosomal RNA", at positions 9 to 407 of the family's 1533-position model. The record is from RNAcentral.
GAGUUUGAUCGUGGCUCAGAUUGAACGCUGGCGGCAUGCCUUACACAUGCAAGUCGAACGGCAGCAUGAUCUAGCUUGCUAGAUUGAUGGCGAGUGGCGAACGGGUGAGUAAUACAUCGGAACGUGCCCUGUAGUGGGGGAUAACUAGUCGAAAGAUUAGCUAAUACCGCAUACGACCUGAGGGUGAAAGUGGGGGACCGCAAGGCCUCAUGCUAUAGGAGCGGCCGAUGUCUGAUUAGCUAGUUGGUGGGGUAAAGGCCCACCAAGGCGACGAUCAGUAGCUGGUCUGAGAGGACGAUCAGCCACACUGGGACUGAGACACGGCCCAGACUCCUACGGGAGGCAGCAGUGGGGAAUCUUGGACAAUGGGCGAAAGCCUGAUCCAGCAAUGCCGCGUGUGUG